RNAcentral lists this ribosomal RNA (492 nucleotides) under uncultured bacterium. RNAcentral's name for it is "partial 16S ribosomal RNA". It matches the Rfam family "Bacterial small subunit ribosomal RNA", at positions 29 to 507 of the family's 1533-position model. The record is from RNAcentral.
AGUGAACGCUGGCGGUAGGCCUAACACAUGCAAGUCGAACGGCAGCACAGUAAGAGCUUGCUCUUACGGGUGGCGAGUGGCGGACGGGUGAGGAAUACAUCGGAAUCUACUUUUUCGUGGGGGAUAACGUAGGGAAACUUACGCUAAUACCGCAUACGACCUACGGGUGAAAGCAGGGGAUCUUCGGACCUUGCGCGAUUGAAUGAGCCGAUAUCGGAUUAGCUAGUUGGCGGGGUAAAGGCCCACCAAGGCGACGAUCCGUAGCUGGUCUGAGAGGAUGAUCAGCCACACUGGAACUGAGACACGGUCCAGACUCCUACGGGAGGCAGCAGUGGGGAAUAUUGGACAAUGGGCGCAAGCCUGAUCCAGCCAGACCGAGUGGGUGAAGAAGGCCUUCGGGUUGUAAAGCCCUUUUGUUGGGAAAGAAAAGCAGCAGGUUAAUACCCCGCUGUUCUGACGGUACCCAAAGAAUAAGCACCGGCUAACUUCGUG